This 372-nucleotide ribosomal RNA is filed under the name uncultured bacterium. Its description in RNAcentral is "bacterial SSU rRNA". It matches the Rfam family "Bacterial small subunit ribosomal RNA", at positions 524 to 898 of the family's 1533-position model. The record is from RNAcentral.
UACGGAGGAUGCAAGCGUUAUCCGGAUUCAUUGGGUUUAAAGGGUGCGCAGGCGGAAUGAUAAGUCAGUGGUGAAAUCCUACGGCUCAGCUGUAGAACUGCCAUUGAUACUGUCAUUCUUGAGUACACUUGAAGUGGGCGGAAUGUGUCAUGUAGCGGUGAAAUGCUUGGAUAUGACACAGAACACCGAUCGCGAAGGCAGCUCACUAAAUUGUAACUGACGCUCAUGCACGAAAGCGUGGGGAUCAAACAGGAUUAGAUACCCUGGUAGUCCACGCUGUAAACGAUGAUUACUCGAUGUUGGCGAUAUACUGUCAGCGUCUAAGCGAAAGCAUUAAGUAAUCCACCUGGGGAGUACGGCCGCAAGGUUGAA